Molecule: long non-coding RNA, 1093 nt
Filed under: Marmota monax (woodchuck)
Lineage: Eukaryota; Metazoa; Chordata; Mammalia; Rodentia; Sciuridae
Rfam family: tRNA (bases 1028-1093)
Source: RNAcentral
ACUGAGGUUCAGAGGGCUGGAGAGCUAAUUGCCUGUGGCUGCUUAGCUGGUAAGGAGCAGGACAGGUUGUAAGCUCAGGCCCUUCUGCUCAGAGUUCAGAUUCCCCCACUUUUUUCCCUUCUCUGAGGAACAUUUUCGUCAUCUUCAACCCACCCUCUCUGCCACCCUGUGUGUGUGUACAAGGAACAGGGGAUUGACCGCAGGACCUUGUACUUGCUAGGUAAGUGCUUGAACACUGAGCUACCCCCAGCCCUUUUUAAAAUUUUAUUUUGGCACAGGGUUUCACCAAGUUGCUGAGACUGGUCUCCGUCUUUUGAUCAUCCUGCCUCAGGCUCCUGAGUAGCUGGGAUCUCAGGUGUGCGCCACCACCCCCUGCUGAUGACACUUUCUCUCUAGCCCACCCCACGCUGUUCCACCCUGGGGAUGGUCCCCGUAUGCUCAUCAGGUUCAUCAAUGUUCUUGCUGACCUUUCAUGGCCAGAGAUGCAGGCUCCUUUAGGUGAGAAUAUACACCCAGACAACCUCUUUGGAGGACAAUUUGGCAAUAUCAAAAAUAUAAGUGCAAAGUGCUGAUACGGUUCCAUGGGGAAAGAGUAGUCUCCAACAAAUGGCGCUGGGAGAACUGGAGAGCCACACAGAGUAUAAGGUUGGAGCCCUACCUCACGCCACACAGAGUAUAAGGUUGGAGCCCUACCUCACGCCACAUACAAAAAUUGACUCAGAACAAUCAGCGAACUAAAUGUAAGAACUAAAACUAUAAGACUCCUUGAAGAGAGCAUAAUUAUAAAUUUUCCUGACUUUGAGUUAGACGAUGGUUUCUUAGCUAGAACACUAAAAGCACAAGUGAUAAAAGACAAAAUUAAUUGGUUUCAUUAAUGUUAAAAGCUGGUGAUACAAAGGACACCUUCAGGAUAAGAAAAGGACUCUGAAUAGGAGAAAGUAUUUGCAAGUCACAUGUCUGAUAACAGACUCACAUCUACAAAAUAUAAAGAACUUUCACAACUCAAUAAAAAGACAACCCAAGGGCUGGGGUUGUGGCUCAGUGGUAGAGCGCUAGCCUCGAAUAUGUGAGGCACUGGGUUCGAUUCUUAGCA